This 24-nucleotide small nuclear RNA is filed under the name Arabidopsis thaliana (thale cress). Its description in RNAcentral is "snRNA_09620". Lineage: Eukaryota; Viridiplantae; Streptophyta; Magnoliopsida; Brassicales; Brassicaceae. The record is from RNAcentral.
CAUCCAGAUGGAUCAUCUAGAUGC